Molecule: ribosomal RNA, 301 nt
Filed under: uncultured bacterium
Lineage: Bacteria
Description: partial 16S ribosomal RNA
Rfam family: Bacterial small subunit ribosomal RNA
Source: RNAcentral
CAGUAGCCACGGUAAUACGAAGGGUGCAAGCGUUAAUCGGAAUUACUGGGCGUAAAGCGUGCGUAGGCGGUGAGCUAAGUCUGCUGUGAAAUCCCCGGGCUCAACCUGGGAAUGGCAGUGGAUACUGGCUCGCUAGAGUGUGUCAGAAGAUGGUGGAAUUCCCGGUGUAGCGGUGAAAUGCGUAGAGAUCGGGAGGAACAUCAGUGGCGAAGGCGGCCAUCUGGGACAACACUGACGCUGAGGCACGAAAGCGUGGGGAGCAAACAGGAUUAGAUACCCCCGUAGUCCCUGUCUCUUAUAC